CGUUGCGAUCAUACCAGCACUAAUGCACCGGAUCCCAUCAGAACUCCGCAGAAAAGCGUGCUUGGGCGAGAGUAGUACUAGGAUGGGUGACCACCUGGGAAGUCCUCGUGUUGCAACCCCCUC
RNAcentral lists this ribosomal RNA (123 nucleotides) under Helianthus annuus (common sunflower). Lineage: Eukaryota; Viridiplantae; Streptophyta; Magnoliopsida; Asterales; Asteraceae. The record is from RNAcentral.